GGCUCCAGAGAGCAUGCUGGGACUUCCAUUAACACCAGCCACUGACAUCUGGUCUCUGGGCUGCAUUGCUGCAGAGCUGUUCCUGGGGUCGCAACUUUACCCUGGAAACUGUGAAUAUGACAUGUUACAACUUAUCACCCAGACUCAGAGUCGGAUACCGGAGCGACUUCUCAAAAUUGCACAGGACACUAGAUGUUUUUUGAGUAAAAGGAAGAAACGUGAAGCGAGAAAACGAUGGAUCCUGAAGAGCCCGAAGGAAAUGGGAGUCAGAACCAGGAUCAAGAGCCAAUUCGAAUCCCUGGACAGCCUCAUCAGUGUGAGAUUUUUAGUUCUAGAAAAACAUUUGACAAAGACAUGAGCCUGUGAGAUUUUAUUGAACUUUGUGAUCUUUUUCUCUGACUCAGGUCAGACCAGUCUGCCAUUUAUCGGAGGAGGACACCAUGGCAGAACUUGAAGACAGACAAUUAUUUGUCAACCUACUAAAGAGGAUGCUGCGUCUGGACUCUGGCAACCGCAUAACACCCAGCCAGAUAUUUCAAGAUCCCUUCAUGACAAUGAACUACAUUGAAGAGAAACACCCCGACAGCUUCUAUGUGAAAUUGUGCUUUGAGCUGAUGGAAGUCUGUCGGACGAAGCCAGUUCAGCCAGUGCAGCCACCAUGGUCGAACCUACAAGUAUCUACCAGCCUGGGCGAGUGCAACACCUCCAACUGGGUCAUUCCUGCUUGGCACUUCCACC
Molecule: long non-coding RNA, 738 nt
Organism: Hippoglossus stenolepis (Pacific halibut)
Lineage: Eukaryota; Metazoa; Chordata; Actinopteri; Pleuronectiformes; Pleuronectidae
Exons: 4
Source: RefSeq, a predicted model, not a curated record